RNAcentral lists this ribosomal RNA (467 nucleotides) under uncultured bacterium. RNAcentral describes it as "partial 16S ribosomal RNA". It matches the Rfam family "Bacterial small subunit ribosomal RNA", at positions 28 to 506 of the family's 1533-position model. The record is from RNAcentral.
GACGAACGCUGGCGGCGUGCUCAACACAUGUAAGUCGAACGGAAAGGCCCUGCUUUUGUGGGGUGCUCGAGUGGCGAACGGGUGAGUAACACGUGAGUAACCUGCCCUUGACUUUGGGAUAACUUCAGGAAACUGGGGCUAAUACCGGAUAGGAGCUCCUGCUGCAUGGUGGGGGUUGGAAAGUUUCGGCGGUUGGGGAUGGACUCGCGGCUUAUCAGCUUGUUGGUGGGGUAGUGGCUUACCAAGGCUUUGACGGGUAGCCGGCCUGAGAGGGUGACCGGCCACAUUGGGACUGAGAUACGGCCCAGACUCCUACGGGAGGCAGCAGUGGGGAAUAUUGCACAAUGGGCGGAAGCCUGAUGCAGCAACGCCGCGUGCGGGAUGACGGCCUUCGGGUUGUAAACCGCUUUCGCCUGUGACGAAGCGUGAGUGACGGUAAUGGGUAAAGAAGCAGCGGCUAACUACGU